This 284-nucleotide ribosomal RNA is filed under the name uncultured bacterium. RNAcentral's name for it is "partial 16S ribosomal RNA". It matches the Rfam family "Bacterial small subunit ribosomal RNA", at positions 524 to 777 of the family's 1533-position model. The record is from RNAcentral.
UACGAAGGGGGGCUAGCGUUUGCUCGGGAAUCACUGGGGCGUAAAGGGGUGCGUAGGCGGGGUCUUUUUUUUUUUUUAAGUCAGGGGGGUGAAAUCCUGGAGCUCAACUCCAGAACUGCCUUUUUGAUACUGAGGAUCUUGAGUUCGGGGAGAGGUGAGUGGAACUGCGAGUGUAGAGGUGAAAUUUCGUAGAUAUUUCGCAAGAACACCAGUGGGCGAAGGCGGCUCACUGGCCCCGAUACUGACGCUGAGGCACGGAAAAGCGUGGGGGGGAGCAAACAGGG